RNAcentral lists this ribosomal RNA (319 nucleotides) under Sagittoidea environmental sample. RNAcentral describes it as "bacterial SSU rRNA". It matches the Rfam family "Eukaryotic small subunit ribosomal RNA", at positions 1140 to 1476 of the family's 1831-position model. The record is from RNAcentral. Lineage: Eukaryota; Metazoa; Chaetognatha; Sagittoidea.
AAACUUAAAGGAAUUGACGGAAAGGCAGCACCAGGGGUGGAGCGUGCGGCUUAAUUUGACUCAACGCGGGAAACCUUACUAGGAUAAGACAUUAGAAUGAUUGACAGACUGCUUGAUCUUUCUUGAUUUUAUGGGUGGUGGUGCAUGGCCGGUCUUAGUUGGUGGGGUGACCCGUCUGGUUAAUUUCGGUAACGAACGAGAUCCGAGUUGUUUAGUUGGCGAACCCUAGGGUUUUACUUUGGUGUUGCGUCUCCUAAAUGGACUAUCAGUUUUAAAUUGAGGGAAGUUUCGGGCUAAAUCAGGUCUGUGAUGCCCUUAG